CGCGAAUGGCUCAUUACAACAGCCGUCGUUUCUUGGAUCUCUUAUUUUACUUGGAUAACUGUGGUAAUUCUAGAGCUAAUACACGCACUAAAGCUCCGACCUUACGGGACGAGCGCAUUUAUUAGAACAAAACCAAUCGGGUUUCGGCCCGUCCGUUGGUGACUCUGAAUAAGUACGCCGAUCGCACGGUCUCGUACCGGCGACAUAUCUUUCAAGUGUCUGCCUUAUCAACUUUCGAUGGUAGUUUAUGUGCCUACCAUGGUUGUAACGGGUAACGGAGAAUAAGGGUUCGACUCCGGAGAGGGAGCCUGAGAAACGGCUACCACAUCCAAGGAAGGCAGCAGGC
This 346-nucleotide ribosomal RNA is filed under the name Sabatieria sp. PB-2006. RNAcentral's name for it is "SSU rRNA". It matches the Rfam family "Eukaryotic small subunit ribosomal RNA", at positions 88 to 433 of the family's 1831-position model. Lineage: Eukaryota; Metazoa; Nematoda; Chromadorea; Araeolaimida; Comesomatidae. The record is from RNAcentral. RNAcentral also lists the same sequence under 1 other name.